This 254-nucleotide ribosomal RNA is filed under the name uncultured bacterium. Its description in RNAcentral is "partial 16S ribosomal RNA". It matches the Rfam family "Bacterial small subunit ribosomal RNA", at positions 524 to 776 of the family's 1533-position model. The record is from RNAcentral.
UACGUAGGGGGCAAGCGUUGUCCGGAUUUAUUGGGCGUAAAGAGCUCGUAGGCGGCUCAGUAAGUCAGGUGUGAAAACUCCAGGCUCAACCUGGAGACGCCACCUGAUACUGCUGUGGCUAGAGUCCGGUAGGGGAGCAUGGAAUUCCUGGUGUAGCGGUGAAAUGCGCAGAUAUCAGGAGGAACACCAGUGGCGAAGGCGGUACUCUGGGCCGGAACUGACGCUGAGGAGCGAAAGCGUGGGGAGCAAACAGG